AUGAGAACAGCCUCUACUGGUCAUGUUCUGAUGCCAGGUUACUUUAAAACAGCUCAAUACACCCUAAAAGCACAGUUACACUUGCCGUGGUUUAAACUAGUGUUCUUAUGUCCUGACAAGCUCAAAAACGAUGUUGUAGGCAACUUUAAAACAGCUCAAUACACCCUAAAAGCACAGUUACACUUGCCGUGGUUUAAACUAGUGUUCUUAUGACCUGAAAAGCUCAAAACAAGGUUUUAGUGUUUCUGCAUUGCUUUCCAUCAGAACAGCCUGUACUGGUCAUGAUCUGAUGCCAGGCAUCUUUAAAACAGCUCAAUACACCAUAAAAGCACAGUUGCAGAUGCCAAGGUUUAAACUAGUUUUCUCUUGGCCUGACAAGCUCAAAAAAGAUGUUUUAGUGUUUCUGCAUUGGUUUCCUGCAGAACAGCCUCCAAUGGUCAUGUUCUGAUGCCAGAAUACUGUCAAACAGCCUAAUGCAUCCUAAAUGUACUGUUGCAUAGGCCGUGGUUUAAACUAGUGUUUCUACAGCCUGAAAAGCUCAAAAAAGAUGUUGUAGCGUUUCUGCAUUGGUUUCUAUGAGAACAGCCUCUACUGGUCAUGUUCUGAUGCCAGGCAACUUUAAAACAGCUUAAAACACCCUAAAAGCACAGUUACACUUGCUGUGAUUUAAACUCGUUUUCUUAUGAUCUGAAAAGCUCAAAAACGAUGUUUUACUGUUUCUGCAUUGGUUUUUAGGUAUACAGUUUGUAAUGGUCAUGUUCUCAUGCCAGGCUACUUUAAAACAGCUCAAGGCAUCCUAAAUGUACAGUUGCAUAUGUCGUGGUUUAAACUAGUGUUCUUAUGACCUGAAAAGCUCAAAAACAAUGUUUUAGUGUUUCUGCAUUGCUUUCCAUCAGAACAGCCUGUACUGGUCAUGAUUUGAUGCCAGGCAUCUUUAAAACAGCUCAAUACACCCUAAAAGCACAGUUGCAGAUGCCAAGGUUUAAACUAGUUUUCUCUUGGCCUGACAGCUCAAAACGAUGUUUUAGUGUUUCUGCAUUGGUUUCCUGCAGAACAGCCUCAAAUGGUCAUGUUCUGAUGCCAGAA
RNAcentral lists this long non-coding RNA (1086 nucleotides) under Betta splendens (Siamese fighting fish). Its description in RNAcentral is "lncRNA (ENSBSLG00000006708.1)". The record is from RNAcentral. Lineage: Eukaryota; Metazoa; Chordata; Actinopteri; Anabantiformes; Osphronemidae.